ACACUGUUCAUGGGUUACCGCGGCUGCUGGCACGGAGUUAGCCGGUGCUUCUUCUGCGAGUAACGUCACAGAUGUAAGGUAUUAACUUACACCCUUUCCUCCUCGCUGAAGUGCUUUACAACCCGAAGGCCUUCUUCACACACGCGGCAUGGCUGCAUCAGGGUUUCCCCCAUUGUGCAAUAUUCCCCACUGCUGCCUCCCGUAGGAGUCUGGGCCGUGUCUCAGUCCCAGUGUGGCUGAUCAUCCUCUCAGACCAGCUAGGGAUCGUCGCCUAGGUGAGCCUUUACCUCACCUACUAGCUAAUCCCACCUGGGCUUAUCCAUCAGCGCAAGGCCCGAAGGUCCCCUGCUUUCCCCCGU
This 359-nucleotide ribosomal RNA is filed under the name uncultured bacterium. Its description in RNAcentral is "partial 16S ribosomal RNA". The record is from RNAcentral.